RNAcentral lists this ribosomal RNA (284 nucleotides) under Brassica napus (rape). RNAcentral describes it as "rRNA SSU_rRNA_eukarya". It matches the Rfam family "Eukaryotic small subunit ribosomal RNA", at positions 627 to 951 of the family's 1831-position model. Lineage: Eukaryota; Viridiplantae; Streptophyta; Magnoliopsida; Brassicales; Brassicaceae. The record is from RNAcentral.
CUCGUAGUUGAACCUUGGGAUGGGUCGCCCGGUUCGCCUUCGGUGAGCACCGGCCGGCUUGUCUCUUCUGUCGGCGAUAUGCUCCUGGCCUUAACUGGCCGGUUCGUGCCUCCGGUGCUGUUACUUUGAAGAAAUUAGAAUGCUCAAAGCAAGCCUACGCUCUGUAUAUAUUAGCAUGGGAUAACAUCAUAGGAUUUCGAUCCUAUUGUGUUGGCCUUCGGGAUCGGAGUAAUGAUUAAUGAUACCACUCAAAUUACCCUAAGGAGUUUUACUCUCAUCAAAAG